RNAcentral lists this long non-coding RNA (2031 nucleotides) under Pogona vitticeps (central bearded dragon). Its description in RNAcentral is "lncRNA (ENSPVIG00000023686.1)". Lineage: Eukaryota; Metazoa; Chordata; Lepidosauria; Squamata; Agamidae. The record is from RNAcentral.
GCAGAGCAGAGCGGACAACAACAAUAAAAAAAAUUACAAGAAACAAUUGCCGAAAUAUGUUAAAAUAUCACCAAAGAACAUGCCUUAUACAGUGGGGUCUCUACUUAAGAACUUAAUCCGUAUUGGAAGGUGGUUCUCAAGUUGAAAAGUUCUUAUGUUGAAUCUGCAUUUCCCAUAGGAAUGCAUUGAAAACCAUUUAAUCCGUAUCUGCUCUUUUCCGUCCAUAGAAACUACAGUGGAACCUCUACUUAAGAACUUAAUCCGUUUUGGAAUGGUGUUCUUAAGUUGAAACGUUCUUAAGUUGAAGCAAAAUUUCCCAUAGGAAUGGACUGAAAACCAAUUAAUCCGUUCUGGCUGUUUUUUUGUUAUGUAGAGGUGCGUUCGUACAUUGAAGCAUUAGUUCCCAUAGGAACUAAUGCAAAGCUGGUUAAUACGUACUCUACCACUAGGGGGAGAAUUUUUUUUAACCUAAGAUGACCUAAGGUUAAAAAAAGAGCAGGAAAGGUUUUUUUCCUGUUCUUAUCUUGGAUUUCUGUUCUCAAGUAGAAGCAAAAUUUAGCAAAUGGAGCUGUUCUUAAGUUGGAUUGUUCUUAAGUAGGGACGUUCUUAAGUAGAGACCCCACUCUAUCCAUAAACACCUAAUUUGGGAUCGUUAAAGUUAAGCAAAAGCAUUUUCAGACAAAGAGAAAUGUGUCUGGAAGUAUGUGUAAUUCAAGAAAUAGGCAUAGUGCUAGUAAUUACAACCUAUUAAAAUGUUUACUUUUCCCCCAUGCUUCUGUUCACUGUAGCUAAUGAAAAAGAAAUAGAACAGGGCAGAGAUCCAGUAGAAAGCCCUGACAAAAUAGAACCAAAGUUUUUACGCAACAUAGAAAAGACAUCUGACAAGGAAGACAUUCUUGAAUUGGGUCAACCAGAAGAGGAUGAUGACAUUUUGGCACAGGCUGGAACUUCAGAUGAAACAGGGUUCAGAAAUGUCCUUGAGAGUCACAAAAGAAAACCAGAUAUGGCUACAACCCUUGAAUCAGUUGAUCCACAAACAGGGGAAGACUUGAUUGCAGGUCUAUCUAAAGACAAGGGUGAUACAAUGAAAGACAGCAAUAAUCCAUCUGAAGUAGACUCUGCUGCUCCACAUUUUCCUGCUGCCUUUGAUGGUGCAAUACUAUUAGCAAAGGAGAAUAUGCAACCACUUGCAAAGAUGGUAAGCAUUUUUUCUGCUUAAAAUAUACAUAUUGUUUGUGUGGAUAAUAUAUAAUUACAUAUUUGAAAAUCAGAAGUUAUGAAGCUAACUUAUUCUGUGCAGAAAUAAGGUUCUAGUGAGUUUGAUGGCAACCCCUCCAUAUCAGUGUGUGUUGAACUCCUGUGUUAAAAGCAAUUGAUUUCAAUGGCACUUACUCCUAAGAAAACAUACGGGUGUUACCUCUUCUGAAGGACCUUUUAUAAGGCUAUGUAUGCAGUGGACAAAAUCAGUACAUGGGUGGGCAAUUUUAGGUUAAAAGACAGUAAUACUGAAAUGGUUACACACAUUUUCCCUCAUAUGCACCUCUGAACUGGAGUCACUUCCAAGGAGACAGGGAUUGGGCCAUUUCAACAGUGCAGCCCCCUCUCUCUUCCAGGCCCACAAUUCUGCCCUAAUUGUAGCCCCCUCCUCUCCACUGAAUGAAACCCAGCAAGAUCCCAAUACCAUCCCUAGCCCCAAUCCGCACAUGAAGGGCCUCCAGACCUGGCUUCACGACCGAGGAGUGCCUAGUAACCUCUAAUGAUUUUCUAUAAACAAUGGCAACUCCUCCCCCCCCGCCCCUCCAGUCUGCCCAAAGAAUAUCUUCUUUCCUAACAGGUCUUUUGAAUGGAAGGAGUGCUUUUCAAGGUUGUACAACAGCCAAGGCAUGCAGCUUCAAAAAGGAAGCAGUAAAGGCAGCAAAUCAAGUUUUUGGAGCCCAGAUUUCCCAGGCAGACUGCAAACCCGCAGAAAAAUUACACCCCCCCCCGAGAACUGUAGAAUGAAGAAAAUAAACUCAUCCAGAAUGCAGAACA